This 636-nucleotide ribosomal RNA is filed under the name uncultured Acinetobacter sp. RNAcentral's name for it is "bacterial SSU rRNA". It matches the Rfam family "Bacterial small subunit ribosomal RNA", at positions 53 to 685 of the family's 1533-position model. The record is from RNAcentral. Lineage: Bacteria; Pseudomonadati; Pseudomonadota; Gammaproteobacteria; Moraxellales; Moraxellaceae.
ACCAUGCAGUCGAGCGGGGAAGAGUAGCUUGCUACUUAACCUACUCGGCGGACGGGUGAGUAAUGCUUAGGAAUCUGCCUAUUAGUGGGGGACAACAUCUCGAAAGGGAUGCUAAUACCGCAUACGUCCUACGGGAGAAAGCAGGGGACCUUCGGGCCUUGCGCUAAUAGAUGAGCCUAAGUCGGAUUAGCUAGUUGGUGGGGUAAAGGCCUACCAAGGCGACGAUCUGUAGCGGGUCUGAGAGGAUGAUCCGCCACACUGGGACUGAGACACGGCCCAGACUCCUACGGGAGGCAGCAGUGGGGAAUAUUGGACAAUGGGGGGAACCCUGAUCCAGCCAUGCCGCGUGUGUGAAGAAGGCCUUUUGGUUGUAAAGCACUUUAAGCGAGGAGGAGGCUACCGAGAUUAAUACUCUUGGAUAGUGGACGUUACUCGCAGAAUAAGCACCGGCUAACUCUGUGCCAGCAGCCGCGGUAAUACAGAGGGUGCAAGCGUUAAUCGGAUUUACUGGGCGUAAAGCGCGCGUAGGUGGCCCAUUAAGUCAAUGUGAAAUCCCCGAGCUUAACUUGGGAUUGCAUUCGAUACUGGUUGGCUAGAGUAUGGGAGAGGAUGGUAGANUNCNGGUGUANCGGUGAA